Non-coding RNA from Cinara cedri, 442 nucleotides. NCBI's taxonomy places the organism in Eukaryota, Metazoa, Arthropoda, Insecta, Hemiptera, Aphididae. The record is from the annotation of a GenBank genome assembly.
ACAACAAAUCUGUGAGGGGAGAGGUACGAACGUUCCAAAUCAUCCGCGGGUGAGACAUUGAGAGGGGGCGAUGGAAAAUCGAUGCCACCGGGCGCCGCGCCGAACGGCUCUGCGUAACGCUUUUACACAUUUUCAGGACCACUUGUUGAAAACAUUGUCGGGAGCCGAUUCAACGGCCGGUAGAGUGCUUUACCCGGUAUCGGGAGCCAAUUCAACGGUCGCCGUACACGCAUAUUGUAAAUAAAUACGUGUAUUACAUUAGGGGGCCGAUACUGGGUACGCAUUUAACGACGACGGUGAUAAUAAUAGUAAUAACAAGCAAUACAGGUACCGUCGGUUUUUGAAAUUGAAUUAUUUUCGUUGCGCCCGUGCGGCGAGCAAUUUUUCCCACGUUACCGGCACGACGUGACGGUGUCGCACAACGCAACGGCGUUUGUUUUCG